This is a long non-coding RNA of Bactrocera tryoni, 1074 nucleotides long. RefSeq lists it as uncharacterized. The transcript has 3 exons. Lineage: Eukaryota; Metazoa; Arthropoda; Insecta; Diptera; Tephritidae. The record is from RefSeq and is a predicted model, not a curated record.
AUAAGAAGCAUGCCUUUCUGAUCACACAUGUCCGUUCGAACUUCCUAAUACCAAGCGAGCGGAAGUUUUAUUGAAAUAAAAUGACUUUUAAGUAUUGCUUAUUAUUGUAGAUUCAAUUAAUUCUUGUUUAAACGAGGAAUUAUUUUGUUCUUUAAUAAAUGAAAUAAAGGAAUAUUGGGUCUCAUGCAUAAAAACGAGUAAAAGCGCUGAGUUGAGUCAAGUGAGCAAUUGCUCGUAAGUCGAGUUCGAACAAACAGCAACAGCUCUUGCUCAAUUUCGUAUGCAUAAAAAUGAGUUCAAACCAAUUACAAUUACUUGAGCAAACGGAGAUCAAACCUCUAAGUGCAAACAUGUCGUCAAGUGGAAGUGAGUUUGAAGUAGAGCUAAAAAAUAAUAAUAAAAUGGAAAUGGACGAUAUUUCAAAAUUUUUAGUAGAAAAAAUAAAAGAAAAAAAAUAUUUGCUCGAAAAAAGUCAGUUACCAAGUGUAAAAAGUAAACAAGCAAUAAAAAUAUGUGUGAAGGAAAUUUGGCAAAAAUUUGGAAUUGAACUGUUGGAGAAAAACAUUAUAAAAAAAAUAGCAAACAUGAAAUGUCGAGUUAAAAGUAAAAUAGACAUAAAUAAAACAGGCAAUAAGAAGAUUAUUUUAAAAAACUGGGAAGCAGAAUUAUCUUCAUUGCUUUGUUCUGAUUGUAAUCCCUCGACAAAAAAACUUCCUGUUCUCUUUUUCUUGGAAGCAAUGGCGAUACAUUAGAAGAGACAUCAACAACAACAACAUCAGAAACAAAAACAACAGUAACAUCAGCAGCAAAACAGCAAAUAAAGCGCCGUUGCACUGAUAGCGACGACCAAACUGUUAACAAAAAGUCAACAGCAGUUUUGAGUCGUUAUGAGACUGAUGAGACAAGGCAGCUAAAUUUUCAAAGUCUGCAGAGGCUUGUUUUGUUAAAGCAAAACAAAGUUCUUUCCGCAAAAUUAGAGAUUUUGCAGGAAAAACUUGGGGAAAGAGGGUUGGAGUUCCCUGAAUAAUUACAUUUAUUAAUAAAUAAUUAAUUAUUAUUAUAUUUUUGUGCAUU